This 440-nucleotide ribosomal RNA is filed under the name uncultured bacterium. RNAcentral's name for it is "partial 16S ribosomal RNA". It matches the Rfam family "Bacterial small subunit ribosomal RNA", at positions 338 to 795 of the family's 1533-position model. The record is from RNAcentral.
CCUACGGGAGGCAGCAGUGGGGAAUAUUGCACAAUGGGGGAAACCCUGAUGCAGCAACGCCGCGUGAGUGAAGAAGGAUUUCGGUAUGUAAAGCUCUAUCAGCAGGGAAGAAGAUGACGGUACCUGAAUAAUAAGCCCCGGCUAACUACGUGCCAGCAGCCGCGGUAAUACGUAGGGGGCAAGCGUUACCCGGAUUUACUGGGUGUAAAGGGAGCGCAGGCGGGAGUGGAAGUCAGGAGUGAAAGCCCGGGGCUGAACCACGGAACUGCCUUGGAAACUGUUCGGCUAGAGUACGGGAGGGGCAGGCGGAAGUCCUAGUGUAGCGGUGAAAUGCGUAGAGAUUAGGAGGAACACUAGUGGCGAAGGCGGCCUGCUGGACAGUAACUGACGUUGAGGCUCGAAAGCGUGGGGAGCAAACAGGAUUUGAUACCCCAGUAGUC